Molecule: ribosomal RNA, 487 nt
Filed under: uncultured bacterium
Lineage: Bacteria
Description: bacterial SSU rRNA
Rfam family: Bacterial small subunit ribosomal RNA
Source: RNAcentral
GAUGAACGCUAGCGGGAGGCUUAACACAUGCAAGUCGAGGGGCAGCAUAGGGUAGCAAUACUCUGAUGGCGACCGGCAAACGGGUGAGUAACGCGUAUGCAACCUACCCUGUACAGGGGGAUAACCCGGAGAAAUUCGGACUAAUAUCCCGUAAUAAUAUCCGGAGGCAUCUUUGGAUGUUUAAAGUUUCGACGGUACGGGAUGGGCAUGCGUAACAUUAGCUGGUUGGUAAGGUAACGGCUUACCAAGGCUAUGAUGUUUAGGGGUCCUGAGAGGGUGGUCCCCCACACUGGUACUGAGACACGGACCAGACUCCUACGGGAGGCAGCAGUGAGGAAUAUUGGUCAAUGGGCGCAAGCCUGAACCAGCCAUCCCGCGUGCAGGAAGACGGCCCUAUGGGUUGUAAACUGCUUUUCCAGGGAGAGAAACUUACGCACGUGUUGCGUGACUGACGGUACCCUGGGAAUAAGCAUCGGCUAACUCCGUG